GAUGGGAUGAGCAAUGCAGGGAUACCCACCAUCACCCAAAAUGAUCCUUCAGGGCCUUUAUUCUUCAGUGGCAGCCCUCAAUGCUCCCCACGACCUUUUGGAAGGUGGAAGACCAAGCGAGCUGCUAUAAAACCAGAGGUGACUAAUGGCAGUUCAUUCCUUCUGGGAAGCUGGGUGACCCUGCUCAUCAGCUGGAGGAUGCGGUCUGCCGUCCUGUGGACAACGUCACUUACAGUGGACCGUGGCAUGUCAAAGGCCCUGGCUAUCACACUGUAUGAUGUGCCACAUGCCAGCCAGAAAAGAAA
This is a long non-coding RNA of Oryzias latipes (Japanese medaka), 305 nucleotides long. RefSeq lists it as uncharacterized. Lineage: Eukaryota; Metazoa; Chordata; Actinopteri; Beloniformes; Adrianichthyidae. The record is from RefSeq and is a predicted model, not a curated record.